This 470-nucleotide ribosomal RNA is filed under the name uncultured bacterium. Its description in RNAcentral is "bacterial SSU rRNA". It matches the Rfam family "Bacterial small subunit ribosomal RNA", at positions 29 to 506 of the family's 1533-position model. The record is from RNAcentral.
ACGAACGCUGGCGGCGUGCCUAACACAUGCAAGUCGAACGGAGUCAUUUUGAAGUAGCAAUACGGAUGGAUGACUUAGUGGCGCACGGGUGAGUAACACGUAGGUAACCUUCCCUCAAGAGGGGGACAACCUCGGGAAACCGAGGCUAAUACCCCAUAAGACCACAGGCCGAGAGGCCAGUGGCAAAAGGAGCAAUCCGCUUGUGGAUGGGCCUGCGGCCUAUCAGGUAGUUGGUGAGGUAACGGCCCACCAAGCCUAAGACGGGUAGCCGGACUGAGAGGUCGAUCGGCCACACUGGAACUGAGACACGGUCCAGACUCCUACGGGAGGCAGCAGUGGGGAAUUUUGCACAAUGGGCGAAAGCCUGAUGCAGCGACGCCGCGUGGAGGAUGAAGGUCUUCGGGUUGUAAACUCCUUUUGUAGGGGACAAUAAUGAUGGUACCCUGCGAAUAAGCCACGGCUAACUCUGU